RNAcentral lists this ribosomal RNA (1129 nucleotides) under Gerris gracilicornis. RNAcentral's name for it is "partial 16S ribosomal RNA". The record is from RNAcentral. Lineage: Eukaryota; Metazoa; Arthropoda; Insecta; Hemiptera; Gerridae.
AAGAAUUAUUUUAUUAUGUUUUUUAUUUUAUUAUUUUUAAUAAAAAUAUUUUUUAUUUUAGUAUUUUUGAAUAAAUAUUAUUUAAUUAUAGUUAAUUUUACUGUGAAGGAUUAUUUUUAUUUUAUAAAAAAGUAUUUUUUGUUUGAAGUACCUUUUGCAUCAGGGUUUAUUAAAAUAUUAAAAUAAUUUUUUUUUCUCGAAAUUUUAAGAUUUAAGAUUAAAUGUUAGUUUUUGUUACAAAAUAAUUUAUAAUUUUUUCUUAGAGGUUAUAUGCUUUUCAUUUAAAAUGAUAUCUAGUUCACUAAUAUUUGAAUUUAAUUCAUUUUUAAUAUUGCUUUAUUUUAAUUUUAUUAUUUAAAGUUUAUUAAUUAAAGAUUUAUGGGGAUAAGCUCAUAUUUUUUAUUAAAAAUUUUUGUUUUAUUAAAUUUUUUGUAGGAUUAAUAAUUUCCAUCUUUAUUUUGUUAUAAUUAUUUUUUUAUUUUAAUGAUUUUUUAUUAUUUUAAUUUUUUAUUAGUGUUUUUAUUAUAAUUUUAUAUAUUGAUUAAUAAUGAUAUAAUUAGUAAUUUUUAUAAUUUGAGAAUAGUAAUUCGGCAAAUUUUAUUUUCACCUGUUUAACAAAAACAUGUUCUUUUGAUUUUAAUUUAAGAUCAGGCCUGCCCAUUGAUUUUUUUGAAUUAAAAGGCUGCGGUAUUUUAACUGUACGAAGGUAGCAUAAUCAUUUGUCUUUUAAUUGAAGGCUAGUAUGAAUGGUUUGAUGAAAAAUAAACUUUCUUUUUUCAAUUGUUUUGAAUUUAAUUUUUUAGUUAAAAAGCUAGAAUUUUUUUAUAGGACGAGAAGACCCUAUAGAAGUUAACUUUAUUUAUUAAUUUUUAUUUUUUGUUAAUUAAAUAAUUUUUUAGAAUAUAAAGUUUUGUUGGGGUGACAUUGAAAUUUAUUUAACUUUUAAUAUUUUUGUUCAUUAAUUUAUGUUUUUUUGAUCCAAAAUUUUUGAUUAUAAGAUUAACUUACCUUAGGGAUAACAGCGUAAUUUUUUCGGAGAGUUCAUAUCGAUGAAAAAGUUUGCGACCUCGAUGUUGAAUUAAGAUAAGAUUUGGGUGUAAAAUUUCAAUUUUCUUGGUCUGUUCGACCA